UCCAGGCUAACUCAGUCGGUAGAGCAUGAGACUCUAAAUCUCAGGUUGUGGGUUCAUGCCUCAUGUUGGGUG
This 72-nucleotide transfer RNA is filed under the name Mesocricetus auratus (golden hamster). It matches the Rfam family "tRNA". From Rfam's summary of the family: Transfer RNA (tRNA) molecules are approximately 80 nucleotides in length. Lineage: Eukaryota; Metazoa; Chordata; Mammalia; Rodentia; Cricetidae. The record is from Rfam by way of RNAcentral.